This 254-nucleotide unclassified non-coding RNA is filed under the name uncultured Acidimicrobiia bacterium. Its description in RNAcentral is "contains 16S-23S intergenic spacer region". It matches the Rfam family "Bacterial small subunit ribosomal RNA", at positions 524 to 776 of the family's 1533-position model. Lineage: Bacteria; Bacillati; Actinomycetota; Acidimicrobiia. The record is from RNAcentral.
CACGUAGGGGGCAAGCGUUGUCCGGAUUUAUUGGGCGUAAAGAGCUCGUAGGUGGUUCAGUAAGUCGGGUGUGAAACCUCCAGGCUCAACCUGGAGACGCCACCCGAUACUGCUGUGACUAGAGUCCAGUAGGGGAGCAUGGAAUUCCUGGUGUAGCGGUGAAAUGCGCAGAUAUCAGGAGGAACACCAGUGGCGAAGGCGGUGCUCUGGGCUGGAACUGACACUGAGGCGCGAAAGCGUGGGGAGCAAACAGG